Long non-coding RNA from Anopheles merus, 605 nucleotides. RefSeq lists it as uncharacterized. The record is from RefSeq and is a predicted model, not a curated record. NCBI's taxonomy places the organism in Eukaryota, Metazoa, Arthropoda, Insecta, Diptera, Culicidae. The transcript has 3 exons.
UGUUCAUUCUCUAGUUGACUAUUAACAUACUUACAUACAGUGUUAGAGCAUAUAUAGUUUUUUCAUUCCGGAAGUAAUCAGGACAUUGCCAAUUUGGCAAACAAGGUUUCAAAAUUUAAGCACCUAGCCCAAGGGAGCGAUGGUACCAGUCAUAGUGAUAACAGCAGUAAGCGGAGUUCCUAGCUUCUAGCGAACUCUCGAGGCCUUGGCUACUAACAUCAGUGAAUUUUUGUUUGAUCAGGAAAAUUGAUUCAUUAUUGAGUAAUGGUACAACCGCAGGGAUCUAUUCGAAUGGAACGCCAAGAAAAAGGACGAUAACGCCAAGAUUUUGGUGUAGCGUCACGAGCGUUUGCGAAUCUAGCAGUGAAUCGACUUGGCCCAUUCGAGUUAACAGCAAGUUGGACCACCGCAGAUAGAACUCGAUGUGCUGGCUGGUACCCACGUUCUUCGCGACAAACUGCAACGUCCGAAGGGCGAACUCGUCCGGCAGUGAGCCAAUAACAAGCUGGACUAUACUUACUGUCCCUGUAAGGCACACUUUCCAGCACCUCCUGUAAGAGCGAGGUUUCGUUCAGCUUCAGGGCCAUCAGCAGAGCUCCGCCAUA